RNAcentral lists this ribosomal RNA (675 nucleotides) under Triticum aestivum (bread wheat). RNAcentral's name for it is "partial small subunit ribosomal RNA". Lineage: Eukaryota; Viridiplantae; Streptophyta; Magnoliopsida; Poales; Poaceae. The record is from RNAcentral.
AUGCAGCCCUUUUCGCGGCACACCUGCUUCUUCGCGUCCCUCAAGCAGGUGGAAGACCGGUUGGCGGCGGAGGAGCAGCCGCCGGCGCCUCGACAGCCCGUCGCGCCGCCGCUGUUCUCUGACACCAUGACCGCAUCCCCGCUCUUCCUCGGCGCGUCGACGGCCACGGCCACCGACCGCGGCGGCGCCGGCGGGGAGAGCAGCGACGCGGCGCUGGACUUCCUCACCCUCUCCAAAGAUGAAGCGCGCGUGCAGGAGCCCCAACAAGACUCCGAUGACGGCGACGACGAUAGCGGGGCGGACAUAGCGCGGCUGAUGGCCCUUCUGGGCCUGUCGCCGUCGCCAUGGAUCGGCGACGACGGACGAGACAGCGGCGGGUGCGACUGCAGCGGCGGCGACGGGUUCAUGGCGAAGGUCGUCGGAGUGGUCGGGCCCAAGUGCGAAAGGAAGAAGAGGAGGGUGGACGGCUGGAUCCAGCAUUACUACGGCGAUGGCGGCGGGUGCAGGGAGCCCGCGAGGCUGGCGCACCUCCUGCUCGCCAAGGCCUCGUGGUCCUUGGAUGGAGAAGGCCUCGAGGGUAGAGCAGCCAUUGCAUUCCCUUCCGCGGUGAAGGAGUUCUUGGAGCGUGACGCGCCGGCGCGGUUGACGGAGGGGGAGCAUAGGGAGACAGAGUGA